UACGAACUGUGCAAACGUUUAUUCGGAAUCACUGGGCUUAAAGGGUGCGUAGGCGGCUUGUUAAGUAGGGUGUGAAAUCCCCCGGCUCAACCGGGGAAUUGCGCCCUAAACUGGCGAGCUGGAGUGAGAUAGGGGUGUGUGGAACUUCCAGUGGAGCGGUGAAAUGUGUUGAUAUUGGAAGGAACGCCAGUGGCGAAAGCGACACACUGGGUCUCAACUGACGCUGAGGCACGAAAGCCAGGGGAGCAAACGGG
RNAcentral lists this ribosomal RNA (254 nucleotides) under uncultured bacterium. RNAcentral describes it as "partial 16S ribosomal RNA". It matches the Rfam family "Bacterial small subunit ribosomal RNA", at positions 524 to 776 of the family's 1533-position model. The record is from RNAcentral.